GGUGCCUACGGGACGCAGCAGUGAGGAAUAUUGGUCAAUGGGCGCGAGCCUGAACCAGCCAAGUAGCGUGAAGGAUGACUGCCCUACGGGUUGUAAACUUCUUUUAUAAAGGAAUAAAGUGAGGCACGUGUGCCUUUUUGUAUGUAUUUUAUGAAUAAGGAUCGGCUAAAUCCGUGCCAGCAGCCGCGGUAAUACGGAGGAUCCGAGCGUUAUCCGGAUUAAUUGGGUUUAAAGGGAGCGUAGAU
RNAcentral lists this ribosomal RNA (245 nucleotides) under uncultured bacterium. Its description in RNAcentral is "partial 16S ribosomal RNA". It matches the Rfam family "Bacterial small subunit ribosomal RNA", at positions 334 to 576 of the family's 1533-position model. The record is from RNAcentral.